GUUGCAAUGAUGAAACUUUUUCCACUGCUGCAUUAAGGCCGAGUGUGCCAUGCGGAGACUUACCUUGGAGAACUGAGUAAC
Small nucleolar RNA from Pseudonaja textilis, 81 nucleotides. The record is from Ensembl. NCBI's taxonomy places the organism in Eukaryota, Metazoa, Chordata, Lepidosauria, Squamata, Elapidae.